This is a long non-coding RNA of Mauremys reevesii (Reeves's turtle), 1828 nucleotides long. RefSeq lists it as uncharacterized. The transcript has 3 exons. The record is from RefSeq and is a predicted model, not a curated record. NCBI's taxonomy places the organism in Eukaryota, Metazoa, Chordata, Testudines, Geoemydidae.
AAGGACUGUACCAACUGACUCAUGGUGCUGAGGAUACUCUUCCAGCAGGCCAGAGAUAUCCCAUGAGAAGAUUGAAAUGCCUUGUGACCUUGGAGAGACAAAAUGGAUGCAGUAAUAUCUUUUAUUGGACCAACUUCUGUUGAUGAGCGAGACAAGCUUUUGAGAGACACCCUUCUUCAGGUCUGGGAAAGCUGUUCAUGAAGAUACACUGAGCUGUUUAGCCAACAAUGCUGCAAGUAACAUGGCAAGGGAACAUCACCUCUUCCUAACUAAUCAGCUCCAAAUACGUAUUUGAAAACGUAACUCAUCAGGAGUCAAAUAUCAGAAAGACAGCCAAAAACUUAUUAGAGAAUGAAUUUCAGUACUGCUCUAAGUCUACUUUAACCAAGUCAGAUACAUGAAGACUUCCAUUCCAUGCUUAAGAAAAAGGCAUACACAGAAAGAUGUGCUAGAGAUCUUAGGCUUUUUUAAUAGUGUCCAUUGGUGUAGUAUUCAAACAGUUCACAGGUUAAUUACAUCUAUAUGGAAAGGUCCAUAGUAGACAUCAUGGAGUCUUCUACUCUUUUCUCUUUAGGAGAUAUACUUAUAUACACACCUAUGCAUGUAUUUUGUAAUACACAAAUACAGUUUUAUACACAAUAGAUUAACUCUCUGUAAUCCAGACAGUUUUGGAAGUUGACAGAUAACUGCAAGAAUCUCUCGGCUUUGUUCUGGCAGUUGAGAUAAAAGAAAUAUGGAACAAUAGCCAACAUCUGAUUGACAUAUGAUCAGGUUGUGCACACCUCCAAAUGAUCUGUCAUGCCCAGCACCAUUUGGUGAGCUUGCCCAUUAAUGUUUUCACAACAGAAAUCUAGCACAGCACAGAUCUAGCUCAUACAGCACUCGUACACUGCUAUUCCAGACUCAUCCCCAGGGGUAUGGCCCUAAAGUGACAUAGCCAUGAUUUCUGGCUGCAAUUCUGGCCCCCAAGUUGUUAGUUAGCGGUACUUGGGGGCAGAAGAAGGGGGCAGGGAUCUCAAAUUAAGGAUAGGAGGUUUGGGAUCAGUCCUAGGCACCCAUUAACUGAGUAAUGAAUGAUUUAUACGGAAUUUAUAAAGUUUAUAAGAAGUUUAAGACGAUAAACCUAUUUAUAUUUUAUUGGACACAAAAGCACAGGAAUAUUUUCCCUCAUUUUCUGGAUUAACCUGCUCCAUUGCCUUUCUCUACUACUAUCAACCAUUAACUCUGGUCAUCACCUACAUUUGUCAUUGAUCAAGAAGCACUUCCAGUAACCCAGAGGGCACAAGUAACCUCAGCCAGACAGUGCCUGACAAGAAUGAUGUUCCUGUUAAUUAUAGCAUAACUCAGUGCUUCUAGACCACUAGAAGUCAUUCACAAGCAUCUGCUGAGAAAUCACCUAUGUUCAUCUCUUCUCUAGCUGCCUUACCUCUGCUUGAGAGAGAAAAGACAUUAGUGUAAUAAGAACAGGAGUACUAGUGUAAUAGUUUCAGUUGGAGUUUCAAGACUAAUUUUCUUGGCACACAGGGUAUGUGUGUCAUUCGUUUCACUGCUUUCCUUUCUCCUUCCUUAAAUUUCCUCUAUAAUCAGCCCCAACUUUGAUGCAAUUGCCUUCAAUUGAUACAGUUCAUACCCUAAGUGGAACUGAUCAAUUAAAUAUUUUGGAAGCUGAUGUUAGUAAGCUUUUAGGUGGCCCAGAAUUACUUGUUCUGAAAAGCUUCUAUCUUUUAGCACGUCUCACUUGGUAACCAUGCUAUUGAAUUGUGCAUAGUGAGCACAGGAUAUAAUAUGCUGUUGCAGAGAUGAAUUUUGUUAGCAUAUGAAAAAGGCU